GAUGUAACCGCCAUUGGGGUAGGAAGCUCGGAAACCUCUCCGGAUGGGCAAGCCUUUUGGAAGUUAUUCACAUGUGUCUAACGUUCAUCCCAUAGUACAGGACAGAAUCAUCAUUUAGGAAUACUGAUUCAACAGCCGAAUGAAUGAAUGACAAGACAGUUAUUUCUCCAGGACCCUGUGGCACAUAGGAGUUACACAGUGGAACUAUGGACUAUAACCCCAACACUUGUGAGGCUGAGGUAAAAUUUCAAGUUACAAGGAAGCCUGAAUUACAUAGGAAAAGAAAAAAGAGAAGAGAAAAAAAUUAUUAUUUUCAAACCUCUUAUGUUUCUAGAAGUUCUUCAUUAAGAAAAAAAGACAAAAACAAGACAAAAGGGCCAGCCAAGAACUGGAAAACAGUCCUAUAACACGCAGGCCAGGGCUAGCCAGGAACAGAUGUUUUGUGGAGAGCCCAAGUCACCCAGCUUGAUACCCCUCCCUCUUCGUGUGAGUCCAACCCAGCCUCCUUCCCUUGGCAUUGACUGGACACCUGUGUCCAUGCUUUAAUCCCCAG
Long non-coding RNA from Mesocricetus auratus (golden hamster), 553 nucleotides. RefSeq lists it as uncharacterized. The record is from RefSeq and is a predicted model, not a curated record. The transcript is spliced from 2 exons. Lineage: Eukaryota; Metazoa; Chordata; Mammalia; Rodentia; Cricetidae.